Long non-coding RNA from Oreochromis aureus, 1069 nucleotides. Lineage: Eukaryota; Metazoa; Chordata; Actinopteri; Cichliformes; Cichlidae. The record is from Ensembl.
GAGAAUGGUUGUUAAAAACAAAAACUAUUGAUGAUAUAAAUAAUCCACAUGAUGCAGUGAAUUUUACUUUAAGAUAUUUUUCUUUCGUUUCCUUUGUGUAAAAUCCCGGGGAUUACCCUGGUGUCUGUGCUUUCACUUUCACUGUGUUUUUAUUUGCCUGUGAUCUUAUUCAGGCUACAUAAAGCUCGCUGAACACCUCAUAUAAUCAGAUUCCUUCACACACUCACCUGUGCUCUCCAAAGCAGGUCGCAGAAAGAAGAGCAGCUUUGUGUUCCUGAGCUGAUUAUCGACUAAAUAUGGACAAAGAGGAACUCGAAUUCUUCCGGGCUCUGAGAGCCAUGGCUUUUUUAGAGGCGUUGGAAAUACAAGCGGAAAUUCUGAAAAGGCUGAUUGCUGCAUGUCGCCCUGAAAGUCCCAGGAGCUCUGCUGAAAGGAAAAGAUUAAUAAACCUUGCAAUAGAAAACUGCAAAGAUGAAACUGUCCUGCAGUGGCUGAGAGAAAAUUCAGAGUCUGGCACCUUCAGAAAACUCUCAGACAUGUUUGAUUUCCUGAAAAGAAAAAUUGAUGAGGAAGAAAAGAAGAACCAUGAUGACACUGUUGACAUAAUCUUUGUGUCACAUGGAUCAAUCAGAGACUCCAUGAUCCCAGCCAGCUGUUUGCUGCCUCUGCCCACCAUCACUGACCUGGUCCUGUACUCUCCCUGGAACUGUGGCACCACUGGUGAUGUAACCUAUGGCAUUGCAACAGGAAAAAUGAGGCCACAGCACAGAGUUUUUUACCAUAGAAAAGAAAAAGACGGUAAAAUUACUCCUGAUACACAUCAACCCCUGAACCUGCCAAACUACUGGAACUCACUGAAGAAAGCUGGAGGACGGAAGAUCCCAAACAUCAUUGUUAGCCCUCUGCAGGAAGAUGAAGGAGUGUGGAAAAAAUUUAAGUCUCUCUCAACAAAAUAUGGUCCACCAGGACGAAACCGCAUCGUCAUCCCGUUCAGCCUCCCAGCAGAGAGUGAAAGUGUCCCGUUCUCUGUCGUCUGCUUGGCUCUGUCCCUGGUGCUCCUCUCUUCCAG